UACAAUAAUUUAUGAUUAUAAUAUUACUCUUUAUAAAUAGGAUAAUCAUUUUAUGCAACACCAAAGUAAAUAAAGGACAAAUAUUAUUUGUGAGUGGCAUUAGUGGAGCGUGAGAAGACGCGCAAUAGUUGUGUGGCGGGAAGAGAAAUAGUGUUUGCCGCUUUAUUCUGGUCGCUACCAGUUGUGUAAUGAAGGCGUCUACGUAAGCGUAACGAGGUGAUUUUGACGCGUGUGGGACCGCAUGUCAAAGUCGAUACCCCGUUGCAGAAUAUCUGAGGUUCGGUAGCUGUUCACUAGCCACGUGUCUUCUUCUGACGUGGAUCUGAAUGUGCGCCUAUCGUUCCUCGCGCUCUUACACGUUUCAACCACUGCUUGCUCCAGAAAUUAUAAAAUUUCACCGCCCCUCUUCCACAAAUUAGAAAGUUGUUGUACAGGAGACCCUGUUUUUGACAAUUUGCUUAACGACCUUUAUAAGCUUCUGUAUUUCUAUUUUACCCCAAUUAAACUUAUUUUCACAUUGUGACCCCUUCUAUUAUUUCUCGUUACUCCCUUACCCUUUACAUAAAAUAUAUAAAUCGAUGAGAAUAUUGGCGCACAAAAUUUGAUGUUAAUUGAUGUUAUUAUAAUUAGGGGUGUUAGCGGAUUGAAUUUUACAGAUUGGACACUGAUCUAUAUCUGAUCUAUGAUUUUGGGAUUAUAAAUUUUUAAUCCAAUCUAAUAUACGGAUUGGUGAAAUUCAAUACAAAUCCAAUCUAUAUGUUUGCGAAUCGAAUGCAGAUAUGACCCAAUGUAUAUCCAAUUCAUUAUUUUACAGAUUAGUUUGUGGGUUAAAAAUCUUUAAUUCCGUCCUAAACACAAACUAACUAAAUA
Molecule: long non-coding RNA, 870 nt
Filed under: Citrus x clementina
Lineage: Eukaryota; Viridiplantae; Streptophyta; Magnoliopsida; Sapindales; Rutaceae
Description: Citrus clementina (C. clementina) long non-coding RNA (CCLE_LNC003229)
Source: RNAcentral